ACCAUAGUCGCCAACCCCCGUCGAAGAAGAAGAACCAGGUGCCAAAGGAGGCCGACUGCCAACCACCGUCGCACCGAAGUCACAGUCAGCUGCCAAAAAAAGGUAAAAAUUCUCUUUAUCCACUCGGAAUUCGAUUCUGAGCAUCCUUGUUUCCAAAUCAAAGCAAGAGGAAUGACGGGUGAGCCAUAAACCACUGGCA
Molecule: long non-coding RNA, 199 nt
Filed under: Carica papaya (papaya)
Lineage: Eukaryota; Viridiplantae; Streptophyta; Magnoliopsida; Brassicales; Caricaceae
Description: long non-coding RNA (CPAP_LNC013779)
Source: RNAcentral